RNAcentral lists this unclassified non-coding RNA (208 nucleotides) under rhizosphere metagenome. RNAcentral describes it as "partial ribosomal RNA internal transcribed spacer region". The record is from RNAcentral.
GUAGGUGAACCUGCGGAAGGAUCAUUACAGAGUUGCAAAACUCCCAACCCUUUGUGAACAUACCUAAGUUGCUUCGGCAGGCAGGCCCAGGGCGGGCCUGUAGCCUGUUUUCAGGUGCCUGCCGGAGGUUUUAAACUCUAUAUUUUAGUGAUAUCUGAGUAAUUAUAUAAAUAAGUCAAAACUUUCAGCAACGGAUCUCUUGGUUCUG